RNA transcript from Myotis brandtii (Brandt's bat), 2559 nucleotides. It is a transcript of the gene named metastasis associated 1 family, member 3, with no coding region annotated. The transcript is spliced from 18 exons. NCBI's taxonomy places the organism in Eukaryota, Metazoa, Chordata, Mammalia, Chiroptera, Vespertilionidae. The record is from RefSeq and is a predicted model, not a curated record.
UUGAUGAUUGCAAUGCACUUUGAGCUGCCAAGCCGUUCAAGAUGCUCUGAGUUUGUCUUAGAUUAUGUCUACUUUGAGAAUUCCUCCAGCAACCCGUACCUAAUCAGGAGGAUAGAAGAACUCAACAAGACUGCAACUGGCAACGUGGAAGCAAAAGUAGUAUGCUUCUAUAGACGACGAGAUAUUUCCAACACGCUUAUAAUGCUUGCAGAUAAGCAUGCUAAAGAAAUUGAGGAAGAAUCUGAAACAACCAUUGAGGCUGACUUGACUGAUAAACAGAAACAUCAGUUGAAACAUAGGGAACUCUUUUUGUCUCGCCAAUAUGAAUCUCUGCCUGCAACACAUAUCAGGGGGAAAUGCAGUGUUGCCCUUCUGAAUGAGACAGAGUCAGUAUUGUCAUAUCUCGAUAAAGAGGAUACCUUUUUCUACUCAUUGGUCUAUGACCCCUCUGUGAAAACACUAUUAGCUGACAAAGGUGAGAUCAGAGUGGGACCUAGAUAUCAAGCAGACAUUCCAGAAAUGCUCUCAGAAGGAGAAUCAGAUGAGAGGGAACAGUCAAAAUUGGAAGUUAAAGUUUGGGACCCAAAUAGCCCACUUACAGAUCGACAGAUUGACCAGUUUUUAGUUGUAGCACGUGCUGUUGGGACAUUCGCUCGAGCCCUUGAUUGCAGCAGUUCUGUACGGCAGCCUAGUUUGCAUAUGAGCGCAGCUGCAGCUUCCCGAGACAUCACCCUGUUUCAUGCUAUGGAUACAUUAUAUAGACACAGCUAUGACUUGAGCAGUGCAAUAAGUGUCUUAGUGCCACUUGGAGGACCUGUUUUAUGCAGAGAUGAAAUGGAAGAAUGGUCAGCCUCUGAAGCUACUUUAUUUGAAGAGGCACUGGAAAAAUAUGGCAAAGACUUCAAUGAUAUACGUCAAGACUUUCUCCCUUGGAAAUCAUUGACUAGCAUCAUUGAAUAUUAUUACAUGUGGAAAACUACUGACAGAUACGUGCAGCAGAAACGUCUAAAAGCAGCAGAAGCAGAGAGUAAACUGAAACAAGUGUAUAUCCCAACUUACAGCAAACCGAAUCCCAACCAAAUAUCCACCAGCAAUGGCAAACCUGGUACUGUGAAUGGGGCCGUGGGAACCACAUUCCAGCCGCAGAAUCCCCUCUUAGGGCGAGCCUGUGAGAGCUGCUACGCUACACAGUCUCAUCAGUGGUAUUCUUGGGGUCCACCUAAUAUGCAGUGUAGAUUAUGUGCAACCUGUUGGCUCUAUUGGAAAAAAUAUGGCGGCCUGAAAAUGCCCACUCAGUCAGAAGAAGAGAAGUUAUCUCCCAGCCCACCUACAGAGGACCCCCGUGUCAGAAGCCACAUGUCUCGCCAAGCCAUGCAGGGGAUGCCCGUCCGCAACACUGGGAGCCCAAAGUCUGCAGUGAAGACCCGCCAAGCUUUCUUCCUUCACACUACAUAUUUCACAAAAUUUGCUCGUCAGGUCUGCAAAAAUACCCUCCGGCUGCGGCAGGCAGCGAGACGGCCGUUUGUUCCUAUUAAUUAUGCUGCCAUUAGGGCAGAAUAUGCAGACAGACAUGCUGAACUCUCUGGAAGUCCCCAGAAAAGCAAAAGCACCAGGAAACCUUUGGCAUGUAUCAUUGGGUAUUUAGAGAUCCAUCCUUCGAAGAAACCUAAUGUAAUUCGAUCUACACCAACUCUACAAACUCCCACUACCAAGCGGAUGCUGACCACCCCGAAUCACACGACUCUGAGCAUUUUGGGGAAAAGAAACUACAGUCAUCACAAUGGCCUGGGUGAAAGGCUCCUGAAGUGAAGGCGCAGCUCUGCUCCGGCCUGCAGACCUUCCUCAGGAGGGCGGGAGGCUGUGAAGAACUCACAUGCUGCGUGUCAGACUGAGCUACCCCUGUUUCAUCCUGUAAUCCAAGACUUGCUCCACUGCCCUGCUGCUGUUCAUGGCCGUGCCUGGGAAGGAGGCAGCCCCAUCCCCAGUACAUUUCAGUGGGAGACCUCCAUGCACACCCCAUGGAGACUCGAUGAGGGGGGAGGGGGAAGAAACUGUAGGAGUGCACGUCCCAAAAGCUGAGUCUCCCUGUGUGAAUCAGUGUCACUUCGCUUUCCUCAGAGACCUCGCUGUCCCCGAGAGACCUGCCUGAGAAUUAAGGGCAAGAGGGAGCCACUCCACUUCCUCCCUUCUCCGCACCCUGCAUCCCUGCACAGCAGCUCUUGGAGCAGGAGGGCGGCUGAGAGCUCCGAGCCACUGCUGCCCUGCAUGCGCCAGCUCAGCUCUGUUGUAAGCUGUAUGACCGUGUACAGGAGGGACAUGGCAUCUUUCUGAAUGGAUUUUUCUUAACAGGUGUGCCAGUGUUUAUGCAAUUCACAUUUCCCUUGUCCUCGCUGUUACUGUCACUGGCUUUUUCUCAAUCGGCUUCAUAGUAAUUUUUUUUUUUAAUGGGGAAAUUUUCCUCUUUACCUCCUGCAUCCUAUAUUUGAUCCCUUCCCUACCCCUCCAAGGUACAGACUUACCCGAGGUCCUGACAAAUGAUAAGAAAAGUGUCUUUGGGAA